This 440-nucleotide ribosomal RNA is filed under the name uncultured bacterium. RNAcentral describes it as "bacterial SSU rRNA". It matches the Rfam family "Bacterial small subunit ribosomal RNA", at positions 338 to 771 of the family's 1533-position model. The record is from RNAcentral.
CCUACGGGUGGCAGCAGUCGAGAAUUUUUCUCAAUGGGGGAAACCCUGAAGGAGCGACGCCGCGUGGAGGAUGAAGGCUUUCGGGUUGUAAACUCCUGUCAUUUGAGAACAAGGUGCACGCAGUAACUACGCGUGCAUUGAUAGUAUCAGAAGAGGAAGAGACGGCUAACUCUGUGCCAGCAGCCGCGGUAAUACAGAGGUCUCAAGCGUUGUUCGGAUUCAUUGGGCGUAAAGGGUGCGUAGGUGGCGCGCUAAGUCAGGUGUGAAAUUUCGGAGCUUAACUCCGAAACUGCAUUUGAUACUGGCGUGCUUGAGGACUGGAGAGGAGACUGGAAUUCACGGUGUAGCAGUGAAAUGCGUAGAUAUCGUGAGGAAGACCAGUGGCGAAGGCGGGUCUCUGGACAGUUCCUGACACUGAGGCACGAAGGCCAGGGGAGCAA